RNAcentral lists this ribosomal RNA (464 nucleotides) under uncultured bacterium. Its description in RNAcentral is "bacterial SSU rRNA". It matches the Rfam family "Bacterial small subunit ribosomal RNA", at positions 32 to 507 of the family's 1533-position model. The record is from RNAcentral.
AAUCAACGCUGGCGGCGUGCCUCAGACAUGCAAGUCGAACGAUUAAAGCUCUCUUCGGAGAGUGCAUAGAGUGGCGCACGGGUGAGUAACACGUAAGUAAUCUACCCUCGAGUGGGGAAUAACGUCCGGAAACGGACGCUAAUACCGCAUAAUGCAGCGGCACCGCAAGGUGACAGUUGUUAAAGAUUUAUCGCUUGAGGAGGAGCUUGCGGCAGAUUAGCUAGUUGGUAAGGUAAUGGCUUACCAAGGCUACGAUCUGUAACCGGUCUUAGAGGACGGUCGGUCACACUGACACUGAAUAACGGGUCAGACUCCUACGGGAGGCAGCAGUCGGGAAUUUUGGGCAAUGGGCGAAAGCCUGACCCAGCAACGCCGCGUGAAGGAUGAAGUAUUCGGUAUGUAAACUUCGAAAGAAUAGGAAGAAUAAAUGACGGUACUAUUUAUAAGGUCCGGCUAACUACGUG